CGUGGCGCUACGUUCACAUGAUUUUCGCCUUGGCUGAUCGAAUACAGUCAAUAUGGCUGCGCCCGCGUGUGACAGCUCGAAUACCUUUGGGCAACCGUGCAGAGGAGGAGCAGAAUUCCUGGUGACGGAGGACCAGUGACGGAGAGAAUCUCUAUAAAAUAUCUGGGUACUCCUACAGAUGGCAGCAGUGGUGCUGCUGGGGCUGCGGCACAUAAGUGUGCCGUUACAAUAUAU
This is a long non-coding RNA of Venturia canescens, 234 nucleotides long. RefSeq lists it as uncharacterized. The record is from RefSeq and is a predicted model, not a curated record. NCBI's taxonomy places the organism in Eukaryota, Metazoa, Arthropoda, Insecta, Hymenoptera, Ichneumonidae. The transcript is spliced from 3 exons.